CCCAGUAGUGGGGAACAACUCCGAGAAAUCGGAGCUAAUACCGCAUACGGUCUGUUGCGAGAGCAACGAGACUAAAGCCAACGCAAGAAGGUGCUAUUGGAGGAACCUGCGGCUGAUUAGCUAGUUGGUGGGGUAAAGGCCUACCAAGGCGAUGAUCAGUAGCUGGUCUGAGAGGAUGGACAGCCACACUGGGACUGAGAUACGGCCCAG
RNAcentral lists this ribosomal RNA (210 nucleotides) under uncultured bacterium. RNAcentral's name for it is "partial 16S ribosomal RNA". It matches the Rfam family "Bacterial small subunit ribosomal RNA", at positions 129 to 334 of the family's 1533-position model. The record is from RNAcentral.